RNAcentral lists this transfer RNA (76 nucleotides) under Deltaproteobacteria bacterium. Its description in RNAcentral is "tRNA-Gln". It matches the Rfam family "tRNA". Rfam says of the family: Transfer RNA (tRNA) molecules are approximately 80 nucleotides in length. Their secondary structure includes four short double-helical elements and three loops (D, anti-codon, and T loops). Further hydrogen bonds mediate the characteristic L-shaped molecular structure. tRNAs have two regions of fundamental functional importance: the anti-codon, which is responsible for specific mRNA codon recognition, and the 3' end, to which the tRNAs corresponding amino acid is attached (by aminoacyl-tRNA synthetases). tRNAs cope with the degeneracy of the genetic code in two manners: having more than one tRNA (with a specific anti-codon) for a particular amino acid; and 'wobble' base-pairing, i.e. permitting non-standard base-pairing at the 3rd anti-codon position. Lineage: Bacteria; Pseudomonadati; Myxococcota; Myxococcia. The record is from RNAcentral.
UGGGGCGUCGCCAAGUUGGUAAGGCACAGGGUUUUGAUCCCUGCAUUCCCAGGUUCGAGUCCUGGCGCCCCAACCA